UACGGGGGGGGCAAGCGUUGUUCGGAAUUACUGGGCGUAAAGGGUUCGUAGGUGGCCAACUAAGUCAGACGUGAAAUCCCUCAGCUUAACUGGGGAACUGCGUCUGAUACUGGUUGGCUUGAGUGCAGGAGAGGAACGCGGAAUUCCAGGUGUAGCGGUGAAAUGCGUAGAUAUCGUAAGGAAGACCAGUGGCGAAGGCGGGUCUCUGGACAGUUCCUGACGCUGAGGCACGAAGGUCAGGGGAGCAAACGGG
This 253-nucleotide ribosomal RNA is filed under the name uncultured bacterium. Its description in RNAcentral is "partial 16S ribosomal RNA". It matches the Rfam family "Bacterial small subunit ribosomal RNA", at positions 524 to 776 of the family's 1533-position model. The record is from RNAcentral.